UAAGUCAGAACCGUGCUAGAAACGAUGAUGUUGGUCCCGCACAUAUUAGCUGUGUUAAAAUAGAGCUUUGCUCGUGAACCAAAUCAGACAGACGUGGAUGCUGCAGUGGAAAUCUGUGGUGUCUAGUUUGUGAAUUGUAAUUACCAUAUGGGCGGGGGUGAAUCCUUUGCAGACGACUUGAAUGGGAACGGGGUACUGUAAGCAGUAGAGUAGCCUUGUUGCUACGAUCUGCUGAGGUUAAGCCUUGUUCUAAAGAUUUGU
RNAcentral lists this ribosomal RNA (261 nucleotides) under Rhizoctonia solani. RNAcentral's name for it is "partial 28S rRNA". It matches the Rfam family "Eukaryotic large subunit ribosomal RNA", at positions 3131 to 3401 of the family's 3401-position model. The record is from RNAcentral. Lineage: Eukaryota; Fungi; Basidiomycota; Agaricomycetes; Cantharellales; Ceratobasidiaceae.